AAGGAGUCUAACAUAUCUGCGAGUAUUUGGGUGUCAAACCCGAGCGCGCAAUUAAAGUGAACGUAGGAGAUACGCGCAAGCUGCACCUUCCACCGAUCUGGAUCUUUAGUGAUGGAUUUGAGUAAGAGCAUAUGUGUUAGGACCCGAAAGAUGGUGAACUAUGCCUGAAUAGGGUGAAGCCAGAGGAAACUCUGGUGGAGGCUCGUAGCGGUUCUGACGUGCAAAUCGAUCGUCAAAUUUGGGUAUAGGGGCGAAAGACUAAUCGAACCAUCUAGUAGCUGGUUCCUG
RNAcentral lists this unclassified non-coding RNA (288 nucleotides) under uncultured fungus. Its description in RNAcentral is "partial contains 5.8S rRNA, ITS2 and 28S rRNA". It matches the Rfam family "Eukaryotic large subunit ribosomal RNA", at positions 668 to 960 of the family's 3401-position model. The record is from RNAcentral. Lineage: Eukaryota; Fungi.